AGCGAACGUUUGCGGCGGGCCUAACACAUGCAAGUCGAACGCACUAGCAAUAGUGAGUGGCGCACGGGUGCGUAACACGUGGGUAAUCAACCCUUCAGCCUGGGAUAACGACUCGAAAGGGUCGCUAAUACCGGAUACGGCGCGAGAGGCUUCGGCUUCUCACGAGAAAGCCACGCAAGGGGCACUGAAGGACGAGCCUGCGGCCCAUCAGCUAGUUGGUGAGGUAAGAGCUCACCAAGGCUAAGACGGGUAGCUGGUCUGAGAGGAUGAUCAGCCACACUGGAACUGAGACACGGUCCAGACUCCUACGGGAGGCAGCAGUGGGGAAUAUUGCGCAAUGGGCGAAAGCCUGACGCAGCCACGCCGCGUGAGCGAUGAAGGCCUCGGGUCGUAAAGACUCUGUGGGAGAGACGAAGAAAGACCUGUGAAGAGCAGGCCUUGACGGUAGUCUCCUUAGCAAGCACCGGCUAACU
Molecule: ribosomal RNA, 473 nt
Filed under: uncultured bacterium
Lineage: Bacteria
Description: bacterial SSU rRNA
Rfam family: Bacterial small subunit ribosomal RNA
Source: RNAcentral